This 251-nucleotide ribosomal RNA is filed under the name uncultured bacterium. RNAcentral describes it as "partial 16S ribosomal RNA". It matches the Rfam family "Bacterial small subunit ribosomal RNA", at positions 525 to 775 of the family's 1533-position model. The record is from RNAcentral.
ACGUAGGGGGCAAGCGUUAUCCGGAUUUACUGGGUGUAAAGGGAGCGUAGACGGCGAAGCAAGUCUGGUGUGAAAACCCGGGGCUCAACCCCGGGCCUGCAUUGGAAACUGUUUUGCUCGAGUGCCGGAGAGGUAAGCGGAAUUCCUAGUGUAGCGGUGAAAUGCGUAGAUAUUAGGAGGAACACCAGUGGCGAAGGCGGCUUACUGGACGGUAACUGACGUUGAGGCUCGAAAGCGUGGGGAGCAAACAG